GGAGCCGUGCCUGAAACCAAGGGCCACUUUGAUAGAGUGAACCAUGGAGGUUAGAGUCCUCCCGACUCCU
This 70-nucleotide transfer RNA is filed under the name Fowleria isostigma. Its description in RNAcentral is "tRNA-Ile". The record is from RNAcentral. Lineage: Eukaryota; Metazoa; Chordata; Actinopteri; Kurtiformes; Apogonidae. RNAcentral also lists the same sequence under 1 other name.